UGGGGAAUUUUGGACAAUGGGGGAAACCCUGAUCCAGCCAUCCCGCGUGUGCGAUGAAGGCCUUCGGGUUGUAAAGCACUUUUGGCAGGAAAGAAACGUCAUGGGUUAAUACCCCGUGAAACUGACGGUACCUGCAGAAUGAGCACCGGCUAACUACGUGCCAGCAGCCGCGGUAAUACGUAGGGUGCAAGCGUUAAUCGGAAUUACUGGGCGUAAAGCGUGCGCAGGCGGUUCGGAAAGAAAGAUGUGAAAUCCCAGAGCUCAACUUUGGAACUGCAUUUUUAACUACCGGGCUAGAGUGUGUCAGAGGGAGGUGGAAUUCCGCGUGUGGCAGUGAAAUGCGUAGAUAUGCGGAGGAACACCGAUGGCGAAGGCAGCCUCCUGGGAUAACACUGACGCUCAUGCACGAAAGCGUGGGGAGCAAACAGG
Molecule: ribosomal RNA, 429 nt
Filed under: Acidobacteriota bacterium
Lineage: Bacteria; Pseudomonadati; Acidobacteriota
Description: Acidobacteria bacterium partial 16S ribosomal RNA
Rfam family: Bacterial small subunit ribosomal RNA
Source: RNAcentral